UGAUGCCAUUUUGGUAGGCCUCAUUCAGUGGUUUCGUCUUUCGCCUCGUGCAAAAACAUUGCAUGUUGUAAGUAGAAAUUAUUUGAUAAGAGACGACUCCAGUGUGUGGUUGACAUUGUUCGCGUUUAGUCACUUCGGCAGACGCCAUUCUAAGGAAAUCAUUUAUGUUGGAUUAGUUAUCGCGGGACGUACGCAUUUUGUAUUACGCGGCGGCACAGUCGAACAGUCGUCGUCCAGUGUUGACGACACGGCUCCCAGCGAACAAAGGAAUACUAAGAUUCAACAAACAAAAUCAGCCGGACUCAUUCAGUCCUUUGAGGGCUAGCCGAUUGUGGACAAUCAGCGAGCUUACUGCAAACUUUGGUUUUGUUUUGAUACAUCGAGAAGCCUUCCUUUUUUUAAAAAACAAAAAAAUGGCUGAAGUAUACAUAAAAGUGGCAGAGGAGGAAAACGAGGAGCCCAUGGAGAUCCCAUCCGAAGACGACGGCACUGUUCUGCUUUCAACCGUGGCAGCUCAGUUUCCAGGGGCGUGCGGCCUGCGCUUCAGGAGCCCCGUGUCUCAGUGCAUGCGAGGAGUGCGUCUCGUGGAGGGGGUCCUGCACGCUCCAGAGAAUGGAUGGGGGAAUGUCGUAUAUGUGGUGAACUAUCCAAAAGACAUACCCCCAGACAACAAGAGGAAGAUGGAGGAAAUUGAUGCCUCCUCUGCGGUGAAAAUGAAGAGAGGAGACAUGAAGACAUCUGACCUGAUAGUCCUGGGUCUUCCUUGGAAAACAACUGAGCAGGACCUCAAAGACUACUUUAGCACAUUUGGAGAAGUCAUCAUGGUUCAGGUUAAACGAGAUGCUAAGACUGGCAACUCCAAAGGAUUUGGCUUUGUGAGGUUCACAGAGUACGAGGCUCAAGAAAAGGUGAUCUCCCAGCGCCAUAUGAUUGAUGGAAGAUGGUGUGACUGCAAGCUCCCUAACUCGAAGCAGGGACCAGACGAGCCGCUGAGGAGCCGAAAAGUGUUUGUUGGCCGUUGCACAGAAGACAUGACCACUGAUGACCUAAGGCAGUUCUUUAUGCAGUAUGGAGAAGUCACAGAUGUCUUCAUCCCUAAGCCAUUCCGUGCUUUUGCUUUUGUCACAUUCGCAGAUGAUCAGGUUGCCCAGUCUCUCUGUGGAGAGGACCUAAUAAUCAAAGGUGUCAGCGUUCACAUCUCAAAUGCAGAGCCCAAACACGGCAAUAGGCAAUUUGAUCGUACAACACGGUUUGGAAAUGGUUUUGGAGCUCAGGCAUUUACCAGCAGCAGAAGUAGUGGGUUAGGGAGCAGCACUAACAGUAGUUUGGCAAACUUUGGGUCCUUCAGUCUGAACCCUGCCAUGAUGGCUGCUGCUCAGGCUGCUCUGCAGAGUAGUUGGGGUAUGAUGGGUAUGCUGGCUAGUCAGCAGCAAACAUCCACCUCUGGCAGCACCUCCAGUGGAACAAGCUCAAGCAGAGACCAGAGUCAGUUUUCUAGUACAGGUAACAGCAACUAUGGCACUAGCUCUGCUAGUCUCGGCUGGGAACAGGGUCCAACUCUACAACAAGUGGAAGUGGGUUUAGCUCAGGUUUGGGUCGAGUAUGGAGUCAAAGUCGUCUGGGUGGGGUAUGUAAGUUAAAUGUUUGUAUGGUAAGUAUUGUGAAAAAGAUGAGUCUUUUCAAAGUUUAUUUCUGGUGUUGAUGCGUAUCUGAAAACUUAACACUUUUGUGGAAGAUGUUUUGUACAUUUGGAAAAAUGCUAAAGAUUUAAUUUAGAACGUGGCGAAUUGAGUUGUUUACCAGGAUGUCUGACUAAAGUGCUAUUUUUGAUGUCUCAUUCGUUUGUAUCCAUUUCAACUGGAUUCUCUAAUGCAUGUAUUGUAAAAUGUGAUAUAACCAUUUUGAAAAUGCAUGAAUGUUUGUGGUUCACCAUUAUCCGGCUUUGUCAUCGACCCAAAAGGCAAUCUUGCAUUGAGAAGAAUCUGGUUGAAACCUAAAUGUUUUAAGUGCAACUUUAUUUGCAGUCAAGUUCUGUGGAAAAGCCUUCAUUGAAAUCUCUUCUGCAGUUCACCUCUCUUCCAUUUUCCUGUGAGGAAGCUCCUCUUUGGCAGCAUUCUUGGGGUGAUAUCGGUAUCAAUCUCCCUCUUCCCACCUGUAAAUGCUAUGCCAUCAAAGAACGGCUUCACCACGCAUGUUCUAAGAGACGGGACCUUGGGCUCUGCUGGUCGAGGUCUCCGUUUGAAUCCUGACUGAGGUCUGUUCUGAAGAACGAAGACGGAAGUACCAACACUUUCAGUGUGUGGCCUUCUCAGACAUGACAUGGGGUAGUACCUGUCUUUUUGCUGCUUUUGAUGGCUUUUAGAGUGAAUUGUCCUUCAUAGAUCAUUCACAGCUAGUUUUAAGGUUAGAGGAUAGUUUUGUCUAUAUCUGAAUCUUAGACACAAGCUCAGCGAUGUGGAAUUGCAUAUAUCACUUCGUUAUUGCUAAUUUGGGUAAAGUAUUCAAGUGAUGUUUGUAUAGUCUUAAACACCAAGUGGCCACUUUUAAGGACCACCUGUAUGAUCUACUACAGUGUAACAGUUGUGUUUACCAGUGGGCUAUACUUUAUAUUCAGCAUCACUGUGUUGAGUGUCUGAUGAGCCUUCUUAGUUUGUCAAAUGGCAACCAAAAGUUGUAAAUUAAGCAAAUUGUGCCUUAACCCUACAGGAGAGCUCCAACUUAAACAGGUGUUUUUUUAUAUUUGUGAUUAUCCUGUAUGCACAGUUUUUUAAUCAAACAUUUUUAAAAAUCAAAGUUUAGUUUUGUUAAAGGGAGCCCCUUUAAUCAUCAGACCUAAAUGUUAAAACACAACUCAACCCCUAAAUUGUCUUAAGCGGUGUAAUACAGAUUUUCUGGCAGGUGUAUUAGAUUGCACAGGUGGUUCUGACAGUGGCACAUGUACUCUAUGGUAAGUGGUAAACGCACCAACAGAUCAUUUUGGAGAUUAAUAGCAGGUAUAUUAGUUGUCCCAGCUUCUCUAAUAGAUUUUUUAGUUUGCAUCAGGCUUUUUUGUAGUUACUGUGACUUAGAAUGGACUUUAUCAAUAAAACAAAUCAAAAAAAAUCAUAAGGCAUUAUUUUGUCUGGACACAAAUGCCUAAUGCAUUAUAAUUUGACAGAUCAGCAGGUCCCAGGGUAGAUGACGCUUGAAAAUGAUUUGCUCAAAAAUACUGUGAUAUGAAAUAAGACACGCUGUGAAUUUUAUUAAAGUUUCAAUGCAUGCUUCCCAUAAAUUAGCGAUCGUACUUUGUUAAACUCAAUGUUAUGUAUUGGUCUGCCUUGAUGUUGAUUUGAAUGUUGGGCUUCAGUGAGACACUGCUGGCCUGCCUGUGUCUUGUCAUUCUCUGCCUUCCUCCUCAGUGUCUCUGCUCUUCCUCUUCCCGGUAUUCUUCUUUUUCAAAUCCCUCUGCUCCUGGUUCAGUUCUUCACUUUUAUUUUGUAUGUAGAUGGACUGAAAUAAAUAAAAGCAAAUUAAACAUUA
Molecule: RNA transcript, 3519 nt
Organism: Notolabrus celidotus (New Zealand spotty)
Lineage: Eukaryota; Metazoa; Chordata; Actinopteri; Labriformes; Labridae
Gene: tardbp
Gene name: TAR DNA binding protein
Exons: 7
Source: RefSeq, a predicted model, not a curated record